RNAcentral lists this ribosomal RNA (253 nucleotides) under uncultured bacterium. RNAcentral describes it as "partial 16S ribosomal RNA". It matches the Rfam family "Bacterial small subunit ribosomal RNA", at positions 524 to 776 of the family's 1533-position model. The record is from RNAcentral.
GACGAACCGUGCGAACGUUGUUCGGAUUCACUGGGCUUAAAGGGCGCGUAGGCGGCCGGUCAAGUCCGGGGUGAAAUCUUUCAGCUCAACUGGAAAAGUGCCCCGGAUACUGAUUGGCUCGAGGGAGGUAGGGGUCGAGGGAACUUCCGGUGGAGCGGUGAAAUGCGUAGAGAUCGGAAGGAACGCCGGUGGCGAAAGCGCUCGACUGGACCUCUUCUGACGCUGAGGCGCGAAAGCUAGGGGAGCAAACGGG